Non-coding RNA from Planococcus citri (citrus mealybug), 73 nucleotides. The record is from the annotation of a RefSeq genome assembly. Lineage: Eukaryota; Metazoa; Arthropoda; Insecta; Hemiptera; Pseudococcidae.
GCCCAGGUAGCUCAGUUGGUAGAGCAUUAGGAACGUAACCUAAGGGUCCAGGGUUCGAGUCCCUGCCUGGGCA